Molecule: ribosomal RNA, 307 nt
Filed under: uncultured Syntrophaceae bacterium
Lineage: Bacteria; Pseudomonadati; Thermodesulfobacteriota; Syntrophia; Syntrophales; Syntrophaceae
Description: bacterial SSU rRNA
Rfam family: Bacterial small subunit ribosomal RNA
Source: RNAcentral
GGGUUAAGUCCCGCAACGAGCGCAACCCCUACGUUUAGUUGCUAACGCGUGAAGGCGAGCACUCUAGACGAACUGCCGUUGUUAAGCCGGAGGAAGGUGGGGAUGACGUCAAGUCCUCAUGGCCUUUAUGCCCAGGGCUACACACGUGCUACAAUGGGCGGUACAAAGAGAAGCAACCUCGCGAGGGUGAGCAAAUCUCAAAAAGCCGUUCUCAGUUCGGAUUGAAGUCUGCAACUCGACUUCAUGAAGUCGGAAUCGCUAGUAAUCGCGGAUCAGCAUGCCGCGGUCGAAUACGUUCCCGGGCCUU